UCCGCGCUAAAUUCUGGUGCCAGCAGGCGCGGUAAUACCAGGGCAGCGAGCCCACCAGAUUGUUACUGCGAUUAAAGGUUCCUAGCCUGCCUAUAGGCGUGUGCGAUGCUUUCCGUAAGGGAGUAUCUGUGUGCGCCAGACUGGGGGACUGCGCUUGAAUCUAAGUGCCUAAGGUGCCGUGUUGCCCAAGCUGCCUUCGGGUGGUGCGGGCUGCGGAGGGUCCGCGCACUAUCCCCCUUUCUUAGGAAUGGCAAGGAGAAGUUCGACGAUGGGAGUAUUGGUUGACGAGAGGUGGAAUACGCUGACUCAACCAGGACUACCGGUGGCGAAAGCGCCCAUCGAGGACCUGCUCGUCGGCCAAGGACCAAAGUUGGG
This 375-nucleotide ribosomal RNA is filed under the name Mikrocytos sp. AR-2014. Its description in RNAcentral is "partial 18S ribosomal RNA". It matches the Rfam family "Eukaryotic small subunit ribosomal RNA", at positions 539 to 994 of the family's 1831-position model. Lineage: Eukaryota; Endomyxa; Ascetosporea; Mikrocytida; Mikrocytiidae. The record is from RNAcentral.